GACAGAGGUGCCGAGCGUUAUGCGGAAUCACUGGGCUUAAAGCGUGUGUAGGCGGAUCGUUAAGUGCCUUGUGAAAUCCCACGGCUCAACCGUGGAACUGCUUGGCAUACUGGCGAUCUUGAGCCACUUAGGGGCUACCGGAACAAAUGGUGGAGCGGUGAAAUGCGUAGAUAUCAUUUGGAACGCCAAUGGUGAAAACAGGUAGCUGGGAGUGUGCUGACGCUGAGGCACGAAAGCCAGGGGAGCAAACGGG
This 253-nucleotide ribosomal RNA is filed under the name uncultured bacterium. RNAcentral's name for it is "partial 16S ribosomal RNA". It matches the Rfam family "Bacterial small subunit ribosomal RNA", at positions 524 to 776 of the family's 1533-position model. The record is from RNAcentral.